Molecule: ribosomal RNA, 662 nt
Filed under: uncultured bacterium
Lineage: Bacteria
Description: bacterial SSU rRNA
Rfam family: Bacterial small subunit ribosomal RNA
Source: RNAcentral
AGAGUUUGAUCCUGGCUCAGGACGAACGCUGGCGGUGUGCUUCACACAUGCAAGUCGAACGAGGUAGCAAUACCUAGUGGCGGACGGGUGAGUAACACGUGGGAAUCUUCCUUUGGGUGGGGGAUAGCAGGCCGAAAGGCCUAUUAAUACCGACUAUAUGUGCAUAUUUCGACAGAGGUAUGCAUGAAAGCAGUAAUGCGCCCGAAGAUGAGCCCGCGCCCGAUUAGCUAGUUGGUAGUGUAACGGACUACCAAGGCUACGAUCGGUAGGUGGUCUGAGAGGAUGAUCACCCACAAUGGGACUGAGACACGGCCCAUACUCCUACGGGAGGCAGCAGUGGGGAAUUUUACGCAAUGGGGGAAACCCUGACGUAGCGACACCGCGUGAGCGAUGAAGCCCCUUGGGGUGUAAAGCUCUGUCGGCUGGGACGAAAAAAUUGACGGUACCAGCAAAGGAAGCAUCGGCUAACUACGUGCCAGCAGCCGCGGUAAGACGUAGGAUGCAAGCGUUGUCCGGAUUCAUUGGGCGUAAAGCGUUCGUAGGUGGUUUAUUAAGUCUGAUGUUAAAGAUCGGGGCUCAACCUCGGGAGUGCAUUGGAUACUGGUAGACUUGAGUAUGGUAGAGGCGAGUGGAAUUCCCAGUGUAGCGGUGAAAUGCGUAGA